This 192-nucleotide microRNA precursor is filed under the name Oryza rufipogon (brownbeard rice). RNAcentral's name for it is "MIR812 microRNA precursor family". It matches the Rfam family "MIR812 microRNA precursor family". Lineage: Eukaryota; Viridiplantae; Streptophyta; Magnoliopsida; Poales; Poaceae. The record is from Rfam by way of RNAcentral.
AAAAAGACAAACCCUGGUUUCCGUGUCCAACGUUUGACCGUUCGUUUUAUUUAAAAAAAUUAUAAAAAAAAUUAAAAAGAUAAGUCAUGUAUAAAGUAUUAAUCAUAUUUUAUCAUCUAACAACAAUGAAAAUACUAAUUAUAAAAAAAUUUCAUAUAAGACGGACAGUCAAACGUUGGCACGGGAACCCAU